Molecule: long non-coding RNA, 1091 nt
Filed under: Ananas comosus (pineapple)
Lineage: Eukaryota; Viridiplantae; Streptophyta; Magnoliopsida; Poales; Bromeliaceae
Description: long non-coding RNA (ACOM_LNC044612)
Source: RNAcentral
AGACAGAUUUUCUAUUUUUUAGUCUAUACAUUUAAAUUUUAUAAUUAUUUUUGGAGUUGGGCUGGAAUACUAUUGAUAAUAUCACUAUAACAAAAUUAGGUUAUAGGGACACAUGUUUGGGACACUUUUGAGUAAGUGUCCCAUUUAUGCUAAAACUUAAAAACACAUUUACUAAUGCCUAAAUAUAAAGCCCAAUCCAACCAAAAAUAAAAGAUUAUUCUAUUCAACCCACCACACCCAGUCCAUUUGGCUCGAUUACAAACAGAAAAGAAAAAAAAAAGAAAAAAUCAAUUACCAUCUUUUCUUCUCUCUUCACUCAAUCCACUGAAAUUCUAGACGAAGAGCCUUUACUGUCGUCCUCCUCCGCCACCGUAGCCAACGAGAUAGAGUUUCGGCGGUUGCUAAAUGCUUAAAUAAGUGUUGGUAAAUUAGCAGCACUCUUUUAGGUUAUAGCGACACUCUUUAACUGUCACUAUAUACCUAGCGAUCCCACAUAUAGCAACACUUUUUAAAAGUAUCGGUAAUUUUAGCUAGUAGCACUUUUUUGACAUGUACCUACAUUUAAAAGUGUCGCUAUAAACCGUUUUUGUUGUAGUGUAUUUGGCUCCUUUUGUUAUUAAGUUUUUAGCCAUUGGGUGAGGGAUUGUAGGAUUAGGAUGAUAUUAGUCCCUUAGGGUUGAGUGAUUCCUACUGAGUUAUAAUAUUUAAUCCAUUGGUUAGAAAUGGUCAAAUAAAUUAAUCCAAAGGCUAAAAAUUUGAUAGCAAAAGAGGGCAAACACUUUUAUGUUGAAACUUAAUAUUUAGAACUUAAUACAUCUUUGGGUAAGGGAGUCCAAAAUGGUGGAAUUUUUUUCCUUUGGUUAAAGUGGAUUGUAAUUUUACUCUAUUUUUUGGAGUAUAGUAUAACUAUAUUUCAAAAAUUACGUCAUUUUUUUUCUCUCCAAACGCUUCAUAGGAUUAUUUUUCUACUGGUGUAACAUAGUUUAACUAUGCUACGUUUUUAGGGGUAUCAAAACGGGGUCUUAAUGAUAUUCUAAUCCAACUUAUUAUUUCUGUAUAAGCUAUUUAGAUGUUGCAUAUCAUAAUCAUAG